AUAUGUAAACAACCGGUUUUUCGUUGUAACGGACAAAUGGUGUUCUUAUAAGUUUGAGUUCUCGUUGAAAUUUAACUUGGUUUGAUAAAUGACAUUUUCUCGUGGACGAGACUGGUAUGAAUUUUGUUUCCAUCCAGUUCUAUAAGUAUAACCCGAUACAUGUUAACCAUUUUGUUGUCAUUUGAUUGUAAAGAGUUUAAGAAAACUGUUUUAACAUUGCCUACAUGUAGAUCUCACAAGGUCCCCACAUAUCUGACGUCGUGCCUGAAGAAGACAGCUAGGCUGUCGAAAC
Onthophagus taurus is the source of this 292-nucleotide non-coding RNA. NCBI's taxonomy places the organism in Eukaryota, Metazoa, Arthropoda, Insecta, Coleoptera, Scarabaeidae. The record is from RefSeq and is a predicted model, not a curated record.